AUUGAACGCUGGCGGCAGGCCUAACACAUGCAAGUCGAACGGUAACAGGAAGAAGCUUGCUUCUUUGCUGACGCGUGGCGGACGUGUGAGUAAUGUCUGGGAAACUGCCUGAUGGAGGGGGAUAACUACUGGAACCGGUAGCUAAUACCGCAUAACGUCGCGAGAGCAAAGAGGGGGACUUUCGGGCCUCUUGCCAUCGGAUGUGCCCAGAUGGGAUUAGCUAGUAGGUGGGGUAACGGCUCACCUAGGCGACGAUCCCUAGCUGGUCUGAGAGGAUGACCAGCCACACUGGAACUGAGACACGGUCCAGACUCCUACGGGAGGCAGCAGUGGGGAAUAUUGCACAAUGGGCGCAAGCCUGAUGCAGCCAUGCCGCGUGUAUGAAGAAGGCCUUCGGGUUGUAAAGUACUUUCAGCGGGGAGGAAGGGAGUAAAGUUAAUACCUGUGCUCAUUGACGUUACCCGCAGAAGAAGCACCGGCUAACUCCGUG
This 490-nucleotide ribosomal RNA is filed under the name uncultured bacterium. RNAcentral describes it as "partial 16S ribosomal RNA". It matches the Rfam family "Bacterial small subunit ribosomal RNA", at positions 30 to 507 of the family's 1533-position model. The record is from RNAcentral.